Molecule: ribosomal RNA, 467 nt
Filed under: uncultured bacterium
Lineage: Bacteria
Description: partial 16S ribosomal RNA
Rfam family: Bacterial small subunit ribosomal RNA
Source: RNAcentral
ACGAACGCUGGCGGCGUGCUUCACCCAUGCAAGUCGCACGGAAAGGCCCUGCUUUUGUGGGGUGCUCGAGUGGCGAACGGGUGAGUAACACGUGAGUAACCUGCCCUUGACUUUGGGAUAACUUCAGGAAACUGGGGCUAAUACCGGAUAGGAGCUCCUGCUGCAUGGUGGGGGUUGGAAAGUUUCGGCGGUUGGGGAUGGACUCGCGGCUUAUCAGCUUGUUGGUGGGGUAGUGGCUUACCAAGGCUUUGACGGGUAGCCGGCCUGAGAGGGUGACCGGCCACAUUGGGACUGAGAUACGGCCCAGACUCCUACGGGAGGCAGCAGUGGGGAAUAUUGCACAAUGGGCGGAAGCCUGAUGCAGCAACGCCGCGUGCGGGAUGACGGCCUUCGGGUUGUAAACCGCUUUCACCUGUGACGAAGCGUGAGUGACGGUAAUGGGUAAAGAAGCACCGGCUAACUACGUG